RNAcentral lists this transfer RNA (76 nucleotides) under Actinomadura sp. CNU-125. RNAcentral's name for it is "tRNA-Leu". It matches the Rfam family "tRNA". From Rfam's summary of the family: Transfer RNA (tRNA) molecules are approximately 80 nucleotides in length. Lineage: Bacteria; Bacillati; Actinomycetota; Actinomycetes; Streptosporangiales; Thermomonosporaceae. The record is from RNAcentral.
GCCUCCGUAGUCCAACGGCAGAGACGGCAGCAUGAGGUGCUGUGCGGUGGGGGUUCGAAUCCCUCCGGAGGUACUA